Molecule: long non-coding RNA, 577 nt
Organism: Sus scrofa (pig)
Lineage: Eukaryota; Metazoa; Chordata; Mammalia; Artiodactyla; Suidae
Source: RefSeq, a predicted model, not a curated record
UGUUAGGUGAUUGAUCUGCUGAAGGUCAAAACGCUGGAGUGGUAGAGCUGGGCCUCUGAUUCCAGCUGCUGUGAAGUUUCCACAAAUAUUUGCGAGCCUUUGGUUGGGUGGAUGGUGGGGAGUGCGUUGGGAAAAUUGCAGAGGGUUACCAUUUGGGAUUUGCCCCCCAACUUGCUGUGUCACUGACGGGCUGACCUCUCUUUGGGCUUCGGUUUCCUCAUCUGUACCAUGGGACCAGAAAAGAGGGGCUCCAAGACCUCUUUUUGAUGAAAACCCAGCAAAGACUUAAUGAUGAAGCGCCAGCUGCUAGGGCUUCCUCUUCCUAGCAGGCAGGCAAGCUGGGACCAAGGAAAAAGAAUGAUGAGCUGAGAGGCGAGAGAGAGCGAUGCAAAAGAGACCAACUUCCAUCACCGAUGUGUUUGCUCUUUUUAAAAAUUAGACUUUUCUCUAAGAAAUUUUGAGAAAAUUAGACUUUUCUAAAAAGUAGACUUUUCCAUAUUACACAAUAAAUGAGGUGCACAGCACCAGACCAUGUUGCCAGAUAAAAAAUAAAGCUUUAGCAUAAGUAUAUCCUAAA